Molecule: long non-coding RNA, 383 nt
Filed under: Vulpes vulpes (red fox)
Lineage: Eukaryota; Metazoa; Chordata; Mammalia; Carnivora; Canidae
Description: lncRNA (ENSVVUG00000010927.1)
Source: RNAcentral
CUGCAAAGAUCCUAUUUCCAAAUAAGGUCACUUUGCAGUAAGUAAAGCAACAGUGAGCCUGCCGGGCAGACGGGGUCCUUGAGGAGACUGAGGAGCUGCAGAGAUAGAUCAAGGCAUAGGCACAUGGGGAGAGAAAACAGGCUGGGAUAACUCGUAAUUUCCCACCCAUAAUCCUAUUUGCCAGGCCCAGCUGGAAGCCCACAUCACCUGGAAAAAGCAGCCUACAGGUGUUGAUCCCUACUGCCAAGGUCAUACCCAAGAUGAACUAUGUCCAGUCUUCUACAGGAAAAUAUCAGAUCACAGAACUGGCAAACUAUGGCCCAAAUUCCACCUGCCUCCUGUUUUUAUGAAUAAAGAUUUAUUGGAAAACAGCCAUGUUCAUU